Molecule: transfer RNA, 115 nt
Filed under: Streptomyces sp. S12
Lineage: Bacteria; Bacillati; Actinomycetota; Actinomycetes; Kitasatosporales; Streptomycetaceae
Also listed under: 26 other names
Description: tRNA-OTHER
Source: RNAcentral
GGGGGAUUGGCCGAGAGGCAAGGCACCGGCUCGGCCGGGCCGGAACCGUCGUUCCGGUCACCGGUGAGCCGCGGUCGGGCGCGAGCCCGCGCACGUUCGAUCCGUGCAUCCUCCG